RNAcentral lists this non-coding RNA (24 nucleotides) under Arabidopsis thaliana (thale cress). The record is from RNAcentral. Lineage: Eukaryota; Viridiplantae; Streptophyta; Magnoliopsida; Brassicales; Brassicaceae.
ACUGAACAGUUUCUGCUUCUUUGC